CGCUCUAACUCUACUAGAAAAGAAGCAAAGGGCACAAAGGACAAUGAAUUUCAAAAAUACACAGUCUCUUAGGUUUAACUGACUUCACAGUUUCCAAAUGAGAACCGGUAACACAUAGAGCAGAACAAGAAAAGAAGAAAUAACGCUCUUACAUCAGACUUUAGUCCCCUAUUCAGGCAUUUUUAUUCUGAAACACUCAAGUGUGGCUUUUAAAGUUGAGAAGCGAGCAUUUGAAUUCACCACCAACCACCCACAGAUGAAUGAAAGUUUCCCACAUGCAUAUAAUGUGGUGGGACAAUAUCUAUCGUGUGCCAUACAGCAGUUUCAGCAACAAAAAGCUCCUCAGAAUACAUCUCUGAGGUGAGUAGUUCAGGACUGCUGGUGCAAGGAAAGUCAUAGACAUUACAGAGUCACAUUUGAGGACACAGUUCGUUUUUAUAUGAAAGGGCAUCAAGAUUGUUCCACACUGCAACAGUGUGAAUGGUUACGCCAUCAGUGUGGAAACAUCUAAGACGCAUUUUGUGUAAAAAUAGAACAAUGCAACUCAACACAGUUUAAAUCAUGAUCUGAGGACAGAAAAUGUAAGCGGACCUGAGUCUCCAAUCUGACCCCUCUGUCCAGAGUUUGUCAGGAAGCUGUUGAGACAGCUGGGCCGCAUUCAGGUCCCUCCUUAUUGUUUGAGAAUUCAGAAAGAAACAAAAAGAAAACACAGCCAACACAAAACACCCAAAACUCCAUAUGCACGCUGUCUCUGUGCGGGCAGGAAGAAAAGUGUGAGAUAACAGGAUAAGCCCUGGCUGCUUGCCAUGAUCAUACCGGCAGGAAAGCUCUUUUUGAAAAAGACAGAAACUGCAGUGAGCUAGUUCAGCUCGCUUACUGAAGUGGGUCAGAUUAAUUAAUGUAAAACAGAGAGGUUAUGCUUGGUAUCUUGGUAUCUUAGCUAAUUACUCUUUUCAAGAGUUUUUCAAGCUUGCUUCUUUUUUAUGCAAAAGUUUUAUCGAGAAGGGCGUUAAAAUGUUAUUCUAACUACAAGUCCAUCUCUUUCUUGUCAUGACCUCUUUUUGAUCCUUUCAAAUAAUGAUGUAAAUAAGCGGUGUUUUGUAAGUUUGCAUGGCUGUGAACUCUGCAUCUGAAAAACUGAACCAUGUCGUUUUAACUAAUCCCCCAGCUGUGUUUAAUACGUGAUACAGACAACCUCAUCACACACGUCAUAUAGGAUUUAUCUUUAGCAAGAAGUGUGGCGCAUUCAAAAAGUUUAUGAUUACCCCUCUUCCUGUUGACAAUGUGGCAAAAACAGUUGUUUCCGAUAGUGCCACUGAACAAUACGAAGGACAUUUUUAAUAUAACUCUUAGUUUAUUUGGAGAUUCCUCGCUAUUCUGUCAAUCGCAGAGAAAGAGAAAAAAAAACAAGACGAGUAAACACAUCAGUGGAAAGUCCAUUGAAAGUGGUGCACAAUCAACAAGGAUAACUGCAGCCUGGAGAGGAUUGUCAGGGAACAUUUAUCCUUGAAACUUCACAAAAGGUGGAUUUAGGGCUGGUGUCACUACAACAAGAAUCUGUUUGGUUUUGAUUGCAUUAGCACUUUGCCUUCACUGUAAAUCACCCCUGACAUGUCGAAGUGAAAAGGAGUAUGGUUUACAGUAUUCAUCUUUACACUCCUCCAGAAAUAGCUGAAUCAUUUCCAACAGCCUUGCAAAACAUUGCUUACGAACUGAAGCUAAAAAUUGAUGUCCAACUCAUAUGACACGCACUCCAGGUUGCUAUGUUCACCAAAACGUCCCCAUGGUACAUUAUCUCUGAUCUCACAUUUGUAACUUCUACUGCCAACAAAAGCUUCCAGUAACCUUUUAACACACAGUUGAUGUCCUUUUUCUGUUCUGCCUUUUAAGACAGUAUGGUUCUGUUUUUUUUUUCAGUGUUUCCAUCAGGGGACUUUUGAGGAAACCCAACGACAGCUUAAAGGACUGAAAGCCACGUUUCUUUGAUGGUUACUUUUAAAACUAACUUGUUAAAGUUGAACUAUCCAAAAAGUAACAGACAAGUUUUCCUCUUUGUCUCAAAAGUUAUUGUGUCGCUCAAACAUCUCACGCUAAAUCGGUCUGAAUGGGAGGUGUUGCUCGUGCAGAGUGAUAAACCUUUCACCCUACAUCACUGGUGGAACAAAUGAGUCAUUUCUUGCGAAUAUAGAUUCACUCUGUUCACUCAAAGGUCUGUUUGGUGACAUUUGUUUUUUUUUUUUUUUUACAUGAGCCAUGCUAAUGUUAGUACACGCCGCUGUCCCUCUGUGGGCAUGCUUUGUGUCACAGCUGCACACAGCCGGUCUCUGGAGACAUGCUGACUGCUGCCUCGAUGUCCCCGACAGCCCACAUCCUACCUCACUGUUUGUAAGUGUGAAAUUAUGCAACAUCAGAGAGGAAGGUCUGUGAACUUUGGCGCAGCGUGUUUAAACCCUUGAAAUGAUCUUGCCACUGUUCUCUACAUAAAAGAAAAGUUGCUAAAAAAUUGAACAAAUAAUGUUGUUGUCUUUGAUUGCCCUAUAAAUGCUUUGAGAGUGUGCACAUUCCCUCAGAUUUUUAAGGCUUAACCCAACAUGUUUGCAGUAAAAGGCAUCUAUCUUGAGAAGUAAUGGUCAGUAUCGCCGGCUUGCUCUUUUUGACACAGGGGAAGUGACACUAAAAUGUGUGACGAUAAGAAGAACAUGAAGUCCUGUUGUGGUAAGCAGCUGUGGUCAAUGAUAAAGAUCUUGGUUUGUCAUAUUGGGCAUUUUGUCUUCUUUCUCGAUAAAUCUUUUUCCAUUACUUGCUUAAGUUCAUUUUUUUGUUGUUUGUUUUUUUAUGUGCAAAAAGUACAUAAAUCAAUUCUUUCAAGGGAACUGUAGUAAAUAUAGAAAUAAUCACUCAUUAGUUUUUGUUAACCGCUUCCAAAUAAAGCCCAGCACAGCUACCAUUGUUACAUUGUCUCCAACAGACCCAC
RNAcentral lists this long non-coding RNA (2974 nucleotides) under Xyrichtys novacula (pearly razorfish). The record is from RNAcentral. Lineage: Eukaryota; Metazoa; Chordata; Actinopteri; Labriformes; Labridae.